This 566-nucleotide long non-coding RNA is filed under the name Mustela putorius furo (domestic ferret). RNAcentral describes it as "lncRNA (ENSMPUG00000027159.1)". The record is from RNAcentral. Lineage: Eukaryota; Metazoa; Chordata; Mammalia; Carnivora; Mustelidae.
GCCAGCCCCACCCUACCGGAAACUUGUUUGUAUCAGUCUAUAAAAACCCUGUACCAACCCAGCUCUAGACCUCUUGGCGUUAUAGGCAACCAGCGGUGCAGAGGUCCAGGUUUGAACCUGCAAUAAACGACCCUUGCUGCUUGGCUUUGACUCACGUCUCUGGUGGUCUUUUAAGCCUAAUUGCUCUAGCUAGAACUUUCAAUACUAUGGUGAAUAAAGAUGUCAAAACUGGGCAACUUUGUCUUGUUCCUGAUCUUCGAGGAAAACUUCCUGAUUUUCACCAGUCAGUGGGCAUCUUAAGGGCUAUAACUCUGAACCCUUUAUCAGAACCCCAGGAUGAAUUUGAAGCACUUACUACAGAUGGAUGUGGCAGCAUUUGGACAACAUGUGUACUGUAUUUGGACAACAUGCGUACUUCCUUAAAUCCAGAUUGAGUGGUAUAUGACCUGUGCAAACUGAGGCACAUAAAAUUUUUUCAAGAGGUUAUUUGAAUAUGUAUUGAUUCAAAGUUAGGAGCACUCCAGAGUAAAGAGCUAAGGAAGCAUUUUUUAAGAGAAGGAAGUAAA